UACAUUUAGUAUAGUAAAUACAUUAAAUUUAGAAUUUAAAAAUUAAAAUGUGUUAU
This 56-nucleotide transfer RNA is filed under the name Trichostrongylus vitrinus. RNAcentral describes it as "tRNA-Leu". The record is from RNAcentral. Lineage: Eukaryota; Metazoa; Nematoda; Chromadorea; Rhabditida; Trichostrongylidae.